This 389-nucleotide ribosomal RNA is filed under the name uncultured bacterium. RNAcentral describes it as "bacterial SSU rRNA". It matches the Rfam family "Bacterial small subunit ribosomal RNA", at positions 29 to 419 of the family's 1533-position model. The record is from RNAcentral.
AUUGAACGCUGGCGGCGUGCCUAACACAUGCAAGUCGAGCGGUAACAGGUGUAGCAAUACAUGCUGACGAGCGGCGAACGGGUGAGUAAUGCUUCGGAAUCUACCCAAUGGUGGGGAUAACCAGCCGAAAGGUUGGCUAAUACCGCAUACGUCCCACGGGAGAAAGCAGGGGAUCGCAAGACCUUGCGCCAAUGGAUGAGCCGAAGUCGGAUUAGCUAGUUGGAGGGUAACGGCCUACCAAGGCGACGAUCCGUAGCUGGUCUGAGAGGACGACCAGCCACACUGGGACUGAGACACGGCCCAGACUCCUACGGGAGGCAGCAGUGGGGAAUAUUGGACAAUGGGGGAAACCCUGAUCCAGCGACGCCGCGUGUGUGAAGAAGGCCUGC